This 500-nucleotide ribosomal RNA is filed under the name uncultured bacterium. RNAcentral describes it as "partial 16S ribosomal RNA". It matches the Rfam family "Bacterial small subunit ribosomal RNA", at positions 30 to 523 of the family's 1533-position model. The record is from RNAcentral.
AUUGAACGCUGGCGGCAGGCCUAACACAUGCAAGUCGAGCGGUUGACGGGAGCUUGCUCCCUGAUUCAGCGGCGGACGGGUGAGUAAUGCCUAGGAAUCUGCCUAUUAGUGGGGGACAACGUUUCGAAAGGAACGCUAAUACCGCAUACGUCCUACGGGAGAAAGCAGGGGACCUUCGGGCCUUGCGCUAAUAGAUGAGCCUAGGUCGGAUUAGCUUGUUGGUGAGGUAAUGGCUCACCAAGGCGACGAUCCGUAACUGGUCUGAGAGGAUGAUCAGUCACCCUGGAACUGAGACACGGUCCCGACUCCGACGGGAGGCAGCAGUGGGGAAUAUUGGAAAAUGGGCGAAAGCCUGAUCCAGCCAUGCCGCGUGUGUGAAGAAGGUCUUCUGAUUGUAAAGCACUUUAAGUUGGGAGGAAGGGUUGUAGAUUAAUACUCUGCAAUUUUGACGUUACCGACAGAAUAAGCACCGGCUAACUCCGUGCCAGCCGCCGCCGUAA